Molecule: ribosomal RNA, 2923 nt
Filed under: Klebsiella pneumoniae
Lineage: Bacteria; Pseudomonadati; Pseudomonadota; Gammaproteobacteria; Enterobacterales; Enterobacteriaceae
Description: bacterial LSU rRNA
Rfam family: Bacterial large subunit ribosomal RNA
Source: RNAcentral
GGGUUGUGAGGUUAAGCGACUAAGCGUACACGGUGGAUGCCCUGGCAGUCAGAGGCGAUGAAGGACGUGCUAAUCUGCGAAAAGCGUCGGUAAGGUGAUAUGAACCGUUACAGCCGGCGAUGUCCGAAUGGGGAAACCCAGUGCAAUUCGUUGCACUAUCGUUAACUGAAUACAUAGGUUAACGAGGCGAACCGGGGGAACUGAAACAUCUAAGUACCCCGAGGAAAAGAAAUCAACCGAGAUUCCCCCAGUAGCGGCGAGCGAACGGGGAGCAGCCCAGAGUCUGAAUCAGCUUGUGUGUUAGUGGAACGGUCUGGAAAGUCCGACGGUACAGGGUGAUAGUCCCGUACACCAAAAUGCACAGGUUGUGAACUCGAAGAGUAGGGCGGGACACGUGGUAUCCUGUCUGAAUAUGGGGGGACCAUCCUCCAAGGCUAAAUACUCCUGACUGACCGAUAGUGAACCAGUACCGUGAGGGAAAGGCGAAAAGAACCCCGGCGAGGGGAGUGAAAAAGAACCUGAAACCGUGUACGUACAAGCAGUGGGAGCACCUUCGGGUGUGACUGCGUACCUUUUGUAUAAUGGGUCAGCGACUUAUAUUCUGUAGCAAGGUUAACCGUAUAGGGGAGCCGCAGGGAAACCGAGUCUUAACUGGGCGUUAAGUUGCAGGGUAUAGACCCGAAACCCGGUGAUCUAGCCAUGGGCAGGUUGAAGGUUGGGUAACACUAACUGGAGGACCGAACCGACUAAUGUUGAAAAAUUAGCGGAUGACUUGUGGCUGGGGGUGAAAGGCCAAUCAAACCGGGAGAUAGCUGGUUCUCCCCGAAAGCUAUUUAGGUAGCGCCUCGUGAACUCAUCUUCGGGGGUAGAGCACUGUUUCGGCUAGGGGGUCAUCCCGACUUACCAACCCGAUGCAAACUACGAAUACCGAAGAAUGUUAUCACGGGAGACACACGGCGGGUGCUAACGUCCGUCGUGAAGAGGGAAACAACCCAGACCGCCAGCUAAGGUCCCAAAGUCAUGGUUAAGUGGGAAACGAUGUGGGAAGGCACAGACAGCCAGGAUGUUGGCUUAGAAGCAGCCAUCAUUUAAAGAAAGCGUAAUAGCUCACUGGUCGAGUCGGCCUGCGCGGAAGAUGUAACGGGGCUAAACCAUGCACCGAAGCUGCGGCAGCGACACUAUGUGUUGUUGGGUAGGGGAGCGUUCUGUAAGCCUGCGAAGGUGACCUGUGAGGGUUGCUGGAGGUAUCAGAAGUGCGAAUGCUGACAUAAGUAACGAUAAAGCGGGUGAAAAGCCCGCUCGCCGGAAGACCAAGGGUUCCUGUCCAACGUUAAUCGGGGCAGGGUGAGUCGACCCCUAAGGCGAGGCCGAAAGGCGUAGUCGAUGGGAAACAGGUUAAUAUUCCUGUACUUGGUGUUACUGCGAAGGGGGGACGGAGAAGGCUAUGUUAGCCGGGCGACGGUUGUCCCGGUUUAAGCAUGUAGGCUGGUUAUCCAGGCAAAUCCGGAUAAUCAAGGCUGAGGUGUGAUGACGAGGCACUACGGUGCUGAAGUAACAAAUGCCCUGCUUCCAGGAAAAGCCUCUAAGCAUCAGGUAACAUCAAAUCGUACCCCAAACCGACACAGGUGGUCAGGUAGAGAAUACCAAGGCGCUUGAGAGAACUCGGGUGAAGGAACUAGGCAAAAUGGUGCCGUAACUUCGGGAGAAGGCACGCUGGUGUGUAGGUGAAGUCCCUGCGGAUGGAGCUGAGACCAGUCGAAGAUACCAGCUGGCUGCAACUGUUUAUUAAAAACACAGCACUGUGCAAACACGAAAGUGGACGUAUACGGUGUGACGCCUGCCCGGUGCCGGAAGGUUAAUUGAUGGGGUUAUCCGUAAGGAGAAGCUCUUGAUCGAAGCCCCGGUAAACGGCGGCCGUAACUAUAACGGUCCUAAGGUAGCGAAAUUCCUUGUCGGGUAAGUUCCGACCUGCACGAAUGGCGUAAUGAUGGCCAGGCUGUCUCCACCCGAGACUCAGUGAAAUUGAACUCGCUGUGAAGAUGCAGUGUACCCGCGGCAAGACGGAAAGACCCCGUGAACCUUUACUAUAGCUUGACACUGAACAUUGAGCCUUGAUGUGUAGGAUAGGUGGGAGGCUUUGAAGCGUGGACGCCAGUCUGCGUGGAGCCAACCUUGAAAUACCACCCUUUAAUGUUUGAUGUUCUAACGUUGGCCCCUGACCGGGGUUGCGGACAGUGUCUGGUGGGUAGUUUGACUGGGGCGGUCUCCUCCCAAAGCGUAACGGAGGAGCACGAAGGUUAGCUAAUCCUGGUCGGACAUCAGGAGGUUAGUGCAAUGGCAUAAGCUAGCUUGACUGCGAGCGUGACGGCGCGAGCAGGUGCGAAAGCAGGUCAUAGUGAUCCGGUGGUUCUGAAUGGAAGGGCCAUCGCUCAACGGAUAAAAGGUACUCCGGGGAUAACAGGCUGAUACCGCCCAAGAGUUCAUAUCGACGGCGGUGUUUGGCACCUCGAUGUCGGCUCAUCACAUCCUGGGGCUGAAGUAGGUCCCAAGGGUAUGGCUGUUCGCCAUUUAAAGUGGUACGCGAGCUGGGUUUAGAACGUCGUGAGACAGUUCGGUCCCUAUCUGCCGUGGGCGCUGGAGAAUUGAGGGGGGCUGCUCCUAGUACGAGAGGACCGGAGUGGACGCAUCACUGGUGUUCGGGUUGUCAUGCCAAUGGCACUGCCCGGUAGCUAAAUGCGGAAGAGAUAAGUGCUGAAAGCAUCUAAGCACGAAACUUGCCCCGAGAUGAGUUCUCCCUGAGACUUUAAGUCUCCUGAAGGAACGUUGAAGACGACGACGUUGAUAGGCCGGGUGUGUAAGCGCAGCGAUGCGUUGAGCUAACCGGUACUAAUGAACCGUGAGGCUUAACCUUACAACGCCGAAG